GUUGUCCGGAAUUACUGGGCGUAAAGAGCUCGUAGGUGGUUUGUCGCGUUGUUCGUGAAAUCUCACGGCUUAACUGUGAGCGUGCGGGCGAUACGGGCAGACUUGAGUACUGCAGGGGAGACUGGAAUUCCUGGUGUAGCGGUGGAAUGCGCAGAUAUCAGGAGGAACACCGGUGGCGAAGGCGGGUCUCUGGGCAGUAACUGACGCUGAGGAGCGAAAGCGUGGGGAGCGAACGGGAUUAGAUACCCUGGUAGUCCACGCCGUAAACGGUGGGUACUAGGUGUGGGUUUCCUUCCUUGGGAUCCGUGCCGUAGCUAACGCAUUAAGUACCCCGCCUGGGGAGUACGGCCGCAAGGCUAAAACUCAAAGAAAUUGACGGGGGCCCGCACAAGCGGCGGAGCAUGUGGAUUAAUUCGAUGCAACGCGAAGAACCUUACCUGGGUUUGACAUGCACAGGACGCCGGCAGAGAUGUCGGUUCCCUUGUGGCCUGUGUGCAGGUGGUGCAUGGCUGUCGUCAGCUCGUGUCGUGAGAUGUUGGGUUAAGUCCCGCAACGAGCGCAACCCUUGUCUCAUGUUGCCAGCAGGUAAGGCUGGGCACUCUAAGGAGACUGCCCACGAAAGUGGGAGGAAGGCGGGGAUGACGUCUGAUCCGCAUGGCCCUUACGACCUGGGCUACACACGUGCUACAAUGGGUGGAUCAAAGCGAAGCUACCUUGCAAGAGGACGCCAAUCGCAUAACCCCAUCCUCAGUUCGGAUUGAGGUCUGCAACCCGGCCUCAUGAAGCUGGAA
RNAcentral lists this ribosomal RNA (791 nucleotides) under uncultured Mycobacterium sp. RNAcentral describes it as "bacterial SSU rRNA". It matches the Rfam family "Bacterial small subunit ribosomal RNA", at positions 540 to 1331 of the family's 1533-position model. Lineage: Bacteria; Bacillati; Actinomycetota; Actinomycetes; Mycobacteriales; Mycobacteriaceae. The record is from RNAcentral.